GACGAACGCUGGCGGCGUGCCUAACACAUGCAAGUCGAACGGAGCACUUCGGUGCUUAGUGGCGAACGGGUGAGUAACGCGUGAAGAACCUGCCUUUCAGUGGGGGACAACAGUUGGAAACGACUGCUAAUACCGCAUAAUGUUAUUUGAGGGCAUCCUCGGAUAACCAAAGAUUUAUUGCUGAAAGAUGGCUUCGCGUCUGAUUAGCUAGUUGGUGAGGUAACGGCUCACCAAGGCGACGAUCAGUAGCCGGUCUGAGAGGAUGAACGGCCACAUUGGGACUGAGAUACGGCCCAGACUCCUACGGGAGGCAGCAGUGGGGGAAUAUUGGGCAAUGGGCGAAAGCCUGACCCAGCAACGCCGCGUGAAGGAAGAAGGCCCUCGGGUUGUAAACUCUUUUACCAGGGACGAAUAAUGACGGUACCUGGAGAAAAAGCAACGGCUAACUACGUG
RNAcentral lists this ribosomal RNA (453 nucleotides) under uncultured bacterium. Its description in RNAcentral is "bacterial SSU rRNA". It matches the Rfam family "Bacterial small subunit ribosomal RNA", at positions 28 to 507 of the family's 1533-position model. The record is from RNAcentral.